Vitis vinifera (wine grape) is the source of this 6493-nucleotide RNA transcript. It is a transcript of the gene named putative disease resistance RPP13-like protein 1, with no coding region annotated. The transcript is spliced from 7 exons. The record is from RefSeq and is a predicted model, not a curated record. Lineage: Eukaryota; Viridiplantae; Streptophyta; Magnoliopsida; Vitales; Vitaceae.
UUGUUGAAGUGCCAUCCACCGUCCACUUGCUUUUGUCUUGGGGAAAGCGCAUCCACCUCCCACUUGCUUUUCCUUUUCUUUUUCUCACCACUCAAUUAUAUGGUGUUUGACAAAUAUCUGGGGGGCUGGGUCCACCACCAAUAAUGAUUCCUCCAGCCAUUCUGCAGUGUGGUAAUCCAAACCCAGUCUUCUGCAGUUUGGUGGUAUCGCGGUAACAGACACCAAUCCUCUGAAUUCCUAUUGCAAAGCAACAGUCGACACAGAUAUGGCGGACGCCCUCCUCUCAGCUUCGCUUCAAGUUCUAUUCGAAAGGUUGGCUUCUCCAGAGCUCAUAAACUUCAUUCGGCGACGAAACCUUAGCGAUGAACUCCUCAGCGAGUUGAAGAGGAAACUUGUGGUUGUUCUCAAUGUGCUCGAUGAUGCGGAGGUGAAGCAAUUUUCAAACCCAAAUGUCAAAGAGUGGCUCGUCCAUGUCAAGGGUGCUGUGUAUGAUGCGGAAGACCUGUUGGACGAGAUCGCUACCGACGCUUUGCGUUGCAAGAUGGAAGCUGCUGACUCCCAAACCGGCGGAACUCUUAAGGUGUGGAAAUGGAACAAGUUCUCUGCUUGUGUGAAGGCCCCAUUUGCUAUCAAAAGCAUGGAGUCCAGGGUCAGGGGCAUGAUUGAUCUACUGGAAAAAAUCGGAGGAGAAAUUGUUCGGUUGGGGCUAGCAGGAUCACGGUCACCAACACCAAGAUUACCAACGUCCACUUCUUUGGAGGAUGACUCCAUUGUUGUCGGCAGGGAUGAAAUUCAGAAGGAGAUGGUGAAGUGGUUGCUUUCUGACAAUACAACAGGCGGCAAAAUGGGGGUGAUGUCCAUAGUGGGCAUGGGCGGCAGCGGCAAGACCACGCUUGAUCGGCAUCUCUAUAACGAUGAGGAAGUGAAGAAACACUUCGACUUGCAAGUAUGGGUCUGUGUUUCCACUGAGUUUCUCCUUAUCAAGGUCACUAAAACAAUUCUAUACGAAAUCGGUUCUAAAACUGAUGAUUUUGACAGCCUAAAUAAGCUUCAGCUUCAACUCAAAGAGCAACUUAGUAACAAGAAAUUUCUGCUUGUUCUUGAUGACGUCUGGAAUUUGAAUCCUCGUGAUGAAGGUUAUAUGGAGCUUAGUGAUCGUGAAGGUUGGGAACGUCUACGAACUCCACUCCUCGCUGCAGCAGAGGGAAGCAAGAUUGUUGUGACCAGUCGUAAUAAAUCUGUUGCAGAAGCCAUGAAAGCGGCCCCUACUCAUGAUCUUGGGAAAUUAAGCUCUGAAGAUAGUUGGUCCCUGUUUAAAAAGCAUGCAUUUGGAGAUAGAGACCCCAACGCAUUCCUUGAGCUUGAACGCAUAGGCAGACAGAUUGUGGACGAGUGUCAAGGAUUGCCUUUGGCUGUGAAAGCACUCGGCUGUCUCUUGUAUUCUAAGGUCGAAAAAAGGGAAUGGAACGUUGUGUUGGAAAGUGAAAUAUGGCGUCGGCAGAGUGGCUCCAAAAUUCUUCCAUCUUUGAUAUUAAGCUACCAUCAUCUUUCUUUACCUCUGAAGCAUUGUUUUGCUUAUUGUUCUAUUUUUCCCCAGGACCACCAAUUCAAUAAAGAGAAGCUGAUUUUAUUAUGGAUGGCAGAAGGUCUUUUACAUCCUCAACAAAACGAAGGAAGGAGAAUGGAAGAGAUCGGUGAGUCAUAUUUUGAUGAGCUUCUUGCCAAGUCUUUCUUUCAAAAAUCUGUUGGAAGAAAAGGAUCAUGCUUUGUAAUGCAUGAUCUAAUACAUGAAUUGGCUCAACACGUGUCUGGAGAUUUUUGUGCUCGAGUGGAAGAUGAUGAUAAGUUACCAAAAGUAUCUGAGAAGGCUCACCACUUUUUGUACUUUAAAAGUGAUUAUGACCGGUUUGUUGCAUUUAAGAAUUUUGAGGCUAUGACUAAAGCUAAAUCUCUUCGGACAUUCUUAGGAGUGAAGCCAUUGGAAAACAAUCCUUGGUAUGAUUUGAGUAAAAGAGUUUUGCAAGAUAUAUUACCAAAAAUGUGGUGUUUACGUGUGUUAUCAUUAUGUGCAUAUACAAUAACUGAUUUGCCUAAAUCGAUAGGUAAUUUGAAACAUUUGCGUUACUUGGAUUUGUCUUUCACGAUGAUUAAAAAAUUACCUGAAUCAGUAUGUUGUUUAUGCAAUUUACAAACGAUGAUGUUGAGAGGAUGUUUAAAACUUGAUGAAUUGCCUUCAAAGAUGGGAAAAUUGAUUAAUUUGCACUAUCUUGAUAUUGAUGGAUGUGGUUCAUUGAGAGAAAUGUCAAGUCAUGGAAUUGGUCGAUUAAAAAGUUUACAAAGGUUGACUCGAUUUAUUGUGGGCCAAAAAGAUGGAUUAAGAAUUGGAGAAUUGGGGGAGCUGUCAGAGAUUCGAGGAAAACUUUAUAUUUCAAACAUGGAGAAUGUGGUGAGUGUUAACGAUGCAUCAAGGGCUAAUAUGAAGGAUAAAAGUUAUCUUGAUGAGUUAAUCUUUGAUUGGGGUGACGAGUGUACUAAUGGUGUUACACAAAGUGGUGCAACAACGCAUGAUAUACUCAACAAGUUACAACCUCAUCCAAAUUUAAAACAACUCUCCAUCACAAACUAUCCUGGUGAAGGAUUUCCAAAUUGGCUUGGAGAUCCUUCAGUGUUGAAUCUCGUGUCCCUUGAGCUUCGGGGUUGUGGCAAUUGCUCAACAUUGCCACCACUUGGACAGCUAACCCAGCUUAAAUAUCUGCAAAUCUCAAGGAUGAAUGGAGUAGAGUGUGUGGGUGAUGAGUUCUAUGGGAAUGCUUCCUUUCAAUUCCUAGAAACACUAUCAUUUGAGGAUAUGCAGAACUGGGAGAAAUGGUUAUGUUGUGGAGAAUUCCCUCGUCUCCAAAAGCUUUUUAUACGAAAGUGUCCCAAACUCACUGGGAAAUUACCAGAACAGCUUCUUUCAUUGGUGGAACUUCAAAUUCAUGAAUGUCCGCAGCUGCUUAUGGCUUCACUCAAAGUUCCUGCAAUUCGUCAGUUGCAAAUGCCAGGUUGUGACUUCACAGCUCUUCAAACUUCAGAAAUUGAAAUUUUAGAUGCGUCUCAGUGGAGUCAACUUCCAAUGGCACCACACCAGCUGUCAAUUAGAAAAUGUGAUUAUGUGGAGUCUCUGCUAGAGGAGGAAAUCUCGCAAACCAACAUACAUGAUCUGAAAAUCUAUGAUUGUAGUUUUUCUAGAUCCCUGCACAAAGUUGGUUUACCCACUACACUGAAAUCACUAUUAAUCUCUAAGUGCUCGAAAUUAGAGAUUCUCGUACCUGAGUUGUUCAGAUGCCAUCUCCCAGUCCUUGAAAGUCUAGAAAUCAAAGAUGGUGUUAUCGAUGAUUCUCUCUCGUUAUCCUUCUCAUUAGGCAUCUUCCCAAAGUUGACUAAUUUCCGAAUCCAUGGUCUUAAGGGGCUUGAGAAGCUCUCCAUUUUGGUUUCAGAGGGUGAUCCCACAUCUUUAUGUUCCCUGUCUCUAGGUGAUUGCUCUGAUCUUGAAUCUAUCGAAUUGCGCGCUCUCAACUUGGAGUCUUGUUCGAUUUAUAGGUGCUCCAAGCUCAGGUCGUUGGCACACGCACACUCAUCUGUACAGGAGUUGUAUUUAGGGUCUUGUCCAGAAUUGUUGUUUCAGAGAGAGGGUUUGCCUUCCAACCUACGUAAACUUGGAAUUGACAACUGCAACCAACUCACGCCCCAGGUGGAGUGGGGUUUGCAAAGGCUGACCUCUCUUACUCAUUUCAAAAUCAAAGUUGGAUGUGAAGACAUUGAAUUAUUUCCCAAGGAGUGUUUGCUGCCCUCUUCUCUGACUUCUCUUCAAAUUGUAGAGCUUUCGAAUCUCAAGUCUCUUGACAGCAGGGGUCUUCAACAACUCACCUCUCUUCUACAAUUAAAGAUCAGAGACUGCCCAGAGCUCCAGUUCUCGACAGGAUCGGUUCUUCAACACCUUAUCUCUCUAAAACGAUUAGAAAUUGAUGGAUGCUCGAGGCUCCAAUCAUUGACAGAAGUGGGUCUUCAGCACCUCACCUCUCUUGAAAGGUUGUGGAUCGAAAACUGCCCAAUGCUCCAAUCCUUGACAGAAGUGGGUCUUCAACACCUCACCUCUCUUGAAAGUUUGUGGAUCGGUAACUGCCCAAUGCUCCAAUCCUUGACAAAAGUGGGUCUUCAACACCUCACCUCUCUUAAAACAUUAGGGAUCUAUAACUGUCGUAAGCUCAAAUACUUGACAAAAGAAAGACUUCCAGACUCCCUCUCUUAUCUGCACAUCGACAGGUGUCCCUCACUGGAAAAACGGUGUCAAUUUGAGAAAGGGGAAGAAUGGCGUUAUAUAGCUCACAUUCCAAAAAUAGUGAUCAAUUAUGUGCUAUAUUAAUCAAAGUGCCACUCCGCCAAUAUAGAGUCAGCACAGAGAAAAGAUUGAAGCAACAGACUGGGAACUCCAGCAAAGAAAAUCCGUUUCCCCUGGCCCAGACUCUAAUCUUUGGCAGGCUUUCUCUGAGGCAGGUGCCCAGACAACAAUAGCAAGUCUGUUAGGACCCGAAAUGGCCAUCACAACAAACCAGCCGCAGAAGGAACUUCUGGCCCUGAAACUUGGGGUUUUGGAACAGAGAGUUUUACAGCCACCCCUGCUGCCGGCUCUAAUAUUUCCAGACCCUCCAUUGGAGGCAAUAAUGCCCAGCUGUUUGUUGAUUCAGAGAAUAUUAAGGGCAAGCUGGCUACUCAACCUGCUGGAUGGGCUGGUUCCUAACUUAUUUGGUGAGGUUAUAUCAUCCUUGGCACUUCUGGUCACAAGAGAUGAGAAUAGAAUGAAAGAAAACUCAACCCUCUCAUCCGUAAUUCAGAACCAUUUAAAGCCUGGCCAUGGAAUAAGCUCAAGCCUUUCUGUACAGAGUAGCUGGACUCUCUCAAAUUUUUGAUUUGUAAAUAUCCAAAGCUAUGAUUUCAAAGUCAUUAAAUGUGCCAAUCCCCGUCAACCUCAAUCAGUGUGUUAGACUGUUACCAUUGAUCACCUCAGUCCAAAAGACAUUCCAUUCAGGGAAGAGGAAAUAGAAGAAAAUGGCAGCUCUUGAUGUAUUUUGAUUUUGAUCAAGGCUUUCUUGAUGUAUACUCUGAUGUUUUGCUCGAAUUAAUCCUGAUGAUUUUCUUAACUGGAAAGGUGACUUUUCCCAGUGGAGGAAUUGGAGGAAGGGGAGAUUCCUGGGUGCUGAACUAUUGAUGUUCAUUGCUCUGUUCAAGAAGAACCAGAAACAGGAAGGGGAGAUUCCUGAUCAUAUGUCCUCUAAGAUUGAACCCUGGCAUUGAGCUGAUGCUUCAUAAUGUGUUAUUAUAAGAGACAUAGGCUGCCCGAGUUGUCUGAAUAUACCCCAUAGUCCCUCUGAUGCCUGUACACAAGUCCUCGGGCGCCUCCAGAAAGGAAGCUUGAUAAAGAGCCAUUGUGCAUAAAAAAAAAACACCAGUAGUCAGUGUUCACCCUCACAACAGUAACGCAGCAAGUGUCCUUGAUUCUUAUGCAACAGAAUUUCCAGAACCUGAUGGUAAUAUCCCUUUAUAGACAGUGCCAAAGGCUUCUACCAUCGCUUGUACUCAGGAUUCUGUGAUAAAGCUGCAGAUUUUUGAGGUUCAAGCAGUAGAAAACUAGAGAAAUUGCAGCCAGAGAAAUGAAGAAGAAGAACACAGAGGGGCCUAAGAGGACUGAGUAUUAGAAUUGCUUUAUUUUGGUUGCCUCUGCCUGAAGUUAGUUCACUGGACUUCAAUAUCUUGAUUAGAGCACUUCUGGAAACAGCAGUUUGAUCCAACCUCCCAUUUGAAAGAGGUAGUCUUUUCCUCCAACAGCUUCCAGUUCCAUUUGGAAACCUCAGGUCCUCAAAAAUAGCUACUGCACAGUAGGCUCCAACACCAAUCCCUGGGUUGGCAACUCAGGUGCUUGAAGCUCUCCCAUACACUGGUAUGCAAUUUCCAUCUCCAAGCAUGGCACCAUGCACUGGUUCGCUGCUCACAUUACCAGUCUGUCUUCCAUAUAUCUUAGCCUCUGGAGAACAAGCUGUCUAUUGGUGGUAAACCCAACUUUUGAUCCUCUUGGCACCGGUUAACUACCAUUUGCAGUCCAGAUAGCAAGAAGGAAUAGGUCCUCUUCACUUGGAGAGGGUCGGAAUCCAAAUGCAAAAUCACCAGAAAGGCAAAGCCCAUGUGGAGUUUUCAUCAGUGGCAUAAAGAGAUGAACCCAAGCUUAUAUUACUAUAAGCUUGGCUGAUGAGUAACAAGUAGAGGUAGAGAGACAAUGUAAGUUAUUACGUGAAUAAUUGGUCACCCGACUGCUUUUCUCUGCAUGUUGAUUAAGUUGAAAGAGACUAGCGAAUAUUAUUUUCUUCUAUAAUGAACAUUCUCCUGUAAUUGAAUAGUGUGAAAGCAAUUUUUUCUUCUUCUUCAACAAAUGAAUAUUGAGAGCAUAGAAUUACAGUAA